RNAcentral lists this long non-coding RNA (661 nucleotides) under Bos taurus (domestic cattle). RNAcentral describes it as "long non-coding RNA NONBTAT027230". The record is from RNAcentral. Lineage: Eukaryota; Metazoa; Chordata; Mammalia; Artiodactyla; Bovidae.
CAGAUAUCUAAGAAAUGGUAAUACCAUGCUCUAGCAUUUGUAACAUGGUAAGUAAAUACACUCUGCCAGUGAUAAUUAUGAGAUUUCAUCACUUUUCAUUCCAGUUAGGUAGACCUAUUAGAAAAGGCCAGUGUUCCUUGUCAAACAUUAUGUAUUUUUUUCUAAUAGGUAUAAACUUCACCACAAUUUUAAUUAUAAGCAAAUCAUAAAAUACUGUAAGUAUGAAGAAACUUUGAAUUUAUUGCCCAGUGGUUAUUUUUUGUUAUAAUAGAUAGAUAUAUCAUAUUUUGCUGUCAAUAGCUUUGUAAUUCACAGUGUAACAUAAACAGUGUUGGGGUACCUUUUGAUUUCUGUUACUCUAAGGAAGUAAGAGUGAAAAGAAAUAGCGGACAGAGAAUGAAUACACUGCAGAGAAUGAAUGCCAUACAUUCUAAAUGCAGGCAACAUUAGGGCAGAAAAUGAUUUCUUCAUUUCUGUUCACUAAAUCUUUGAAGUCUCAUCAGAAUUAUAUGAUUAUUUGUUUUUUGCCACUGUGAAAAAAAAAGGAAGCAUGAGAUUUAAGCUUUCCUUAAGUUAAAAGCAAGUUAUUUUUGCAUAGAUCAGUUUGGAGUUAACCCCUGUUUAAAAAUGACACCAAUAAACUCCAAGCAUUUACAACAAG